GACAGAGGAUGCAAGCGUUAUCCGGAAUGAUUGGGCGUAAAGCGUCUGUAGGUGGCUUUUUAAGUCCGCCGUCAAAUCCCAGGGCUCAACCCUGGACAGGCGGUGGAAACUACCAAGCUGGAGUACGGUAGGGGCAGAGGGAAUUUCCAGUGGAGCGGUGAAAUGUGUAGAUAUUGGAAAGACCACCGAUGGCGAAGGCACUCUACUGGGCCAUGACUGACACUGAGAGACGAAAGCUAGGGGAGCAAAUGGG
Molecule: ribosomal RNA, 253 nt
Filed under: uncultured bacterium
Lineage: Bacteria
Description: partial 16S ribosomal RNA
Rfam family: Bacterial small subunit ribosomal RNA
Source: RNAcentral